GAUGAACGCUGGCGGCGUGCUUAACACAUGCAAGUCGAACGGAAAGGCCCAAGCUUGCUUGGGUACUCGAGUGGCGAACGGGUGAGUAACACGUGGGUGAUCUGCCCUGCACUUCGGGAUAAGCCUGGGAAACUGGGUCUAAUACCGGAUAGGACCACAUUUUGGAUGGUGUGGUGGAAAGUUUUUCGGUGUGGGAUGAGCUCGCGGCCUAUCAGCUUGUUGGUGGGGUAAUGGCCUACCAAGGCGUCGACGGGUAGCCGGCCUGAGAGGGUGUACGGCCACAUUGGGACUGAGAUACGGCCCAGACUCCUACGGGAGGCAGCAGUGGGGAAUAUUGCACAAGGGGCGCAAGCCUGAUGCAGCGACGCCGCGGGGGGGAUGACGGCCUUCGGGUUGUAAUCUCCGUUCGCUAGGGACGAAGCGUUAUGUGACGGUACCUGGAGAAGAAGCACCGGCUAACUACGUG
Molecule: ribosomal RNA, 466 nt
Filed under: uncultured bacterium
Lineage: Bacteria
Description: partial 16S ribosomal RNA
Rfam family: Bacterial small subunit ribosomal RNA
Source: RNAcentral